UGGGGAAUAUUGCACAAUGGGCGCAAGCCUGAUGCAGCCAUGCCGCGUGUAUGAAGAAGGCCUUCGGGUUGUAAAGUACUUUCAGUCGGGAGGAAGGUGUCAAGGUUAAUAACCUUAUCAAUUGACGUUACCGACAGAAGAAGCACCGGCUAACUCCGUGCCAGCAGCCGCGGUAAUACGGAGGGUGCAAGCGUUAAUCGGAAUUACUGGGCGUAAAGCGCACGCAGGCGGUUGAUUGAGUCAGAUGUGAAAUCCCCGGGCUUAACCCGGGAAUUGCAUCUGAUACUGGUCAGCUAGAGUCUUGUAGAGGGGGGUAGAAUUCCAUGUGUAGCGGUGAAAUGCGUAGAGAUGUGGAGGAAUACCGGUGGCGGAGGCGGCCCCCUGGACAAAGACUGACGCUCAGGUGCGAAAGCGUGGGGAGCAAACAGG
RNAcentral lists this ribosomal RNA (429 nucleotides) under Chloroflexota bacterium. Its description in RNAcentral is "Chloroflexi bacterium partial 16S ribosomal RNA". It matches the Rfam family "Bacterial small subunit ribosomal RNA", at positions 355 to 776 of the family's 1533-position model. Lineage: Bacteria; Bacillati; Chloroflexota. The record is from RNAcentral.